RNAcentral lists this ribosomal RNA (783 nucleotides) under uncultured bacterium. RNAcentral describes it as "bacterial SSU rRNA". It matches the Rfam family "Bacterial small subunit ribosomal RNA", at positions 8 to 796 of the family's 1533-position model. The record is from RNAcentral.
AGAGUUUGAUCAUGGCUCAGGACGAACGCUGGCGGCGUGCUUAACACAUGCAAGUCGAACGGAAAGGUCUCUUCGGAGACACUCGAGUGGCGAACGGGUGAGUAACACGUGGGUGAUCUGCCCUGCACUUCGGGAUAAGCCUGGGAAACUGGGUCUAAUACCGGAUAGGACCAUGAGAUGCAUGUCUUAUGGUGGAAGGCUUUUGCGGUGUGGGAUGGGCCCGCGGCCUAUCAGCUUGUUGGUGGGGUCACGGCCUACCAAGGCUCCGACGGGUAGCCGGCCUGAGAGGGUGUCCGGCCACACUGGGACUGAGAUACGGCCCAGACUCCUACGGGAGGCAGCAGUGGGGAAUAUUGCACAAUGGGCGCAAGCCUGAUGCAGCGACGCCGCGUGGGGGAUGACGGCCUUCGGGUUGUAAACCUCUUUCACCAUCGACGAAGGUCCGGGUUUACUCGGAUUGACGGUAGGUGGAGAAGAAGCACCGGCCAACUACGUGCCAGCAGCCGCGGUAAUACGUAGGGUGCGAGCGUUGUCCGGAAUUACUGGGCGUAAAGAGCUCGUAGGUGGUUUGUCGCGUUGUUCGUGAAAACUCACGGCUUAACUGUGAGCGUGCGGGCGAUACGGGCAGACUGGAGUACUGCAGGGGAGACUGGAAUUCCUGGUGUAGCGGGAAUGCGCAGAUAUCAGGAGGAACACCGGUGGCGAAGGCGGGUCUCUGGGCAGUAACUGACGCUGAGGAGCGAAAGCGUGGGGAGCGAACAGGAUUAGAUACCCUGGUAGUCC